Molecule: ribosomal RNA, 491 nt
Filed under: uncultured bacterium
Lineage: Bacteria
Description: partial 16S ribosomal RNA
Rfam family: Bacterial small subunit ribosomal RNA
Source: RNAcentral
AGUGAACGCUGGCGGUAGGCCUAACACAUGCAAGUCGAACGGCAGCACAGUAAGAGCUUGCUCUUACGGGUGGCGAGUGGCGGACGAGUGAGGAAUACAUCGGAAUCUACUUUUUCGUGGGGGAUAACGUAGGGAAACUUACGCUAAUACCGCAUACGACCUACGGGUGGAAGCAGGGGAUCUUCGGACCUUGCGCGAUUGAAUGAGCCGAUGUCGGAUUAGCUAGUUGGCGGGGUAAAGGCCCACCAAGGCGACGAUCCGUAGCUGGUCUGAGAGGAUGAUCAGCCACACUGGAACUGAGACACGGUCCAGACUCCUACGGGAGGCAGCAGUGGGGAAUAUUGGACAAUGGGCGCAAGCCUGAUCCAGCCAUACCGCGUGGGUGAAGAAGGCCUUCGGGUUGUAAAGCCCUUUUGUUGGGAAAGAAAAGCAGCAGGUUAAGACCCCGCUGUUCUGACGGUACCCAAAGAAUAAGCACCGGCUAACUUCGU